AGCACUUGUCUGUAAUUACAUGGUUAAUGAGGGGUAUUGAUUAAGGGGGCAGGGUCAGGAAGGGGCUGAGCACAGAUCCCUGCAUGUGACCCAGAGAGGAGCCUGGCUGGACAAGAGGAGUUUUGCAGAAUGGAUGAGUGGAAGCCUGAUCCUUCUUUCUUCUACUGGACAACUUCAAGUCUCCUUCAGAUGAGCUCCAUCUAGUCUCUAACAUGAGAAGCAGCAGAAACAACACCCAUUUUCAUCCUCCGGGGUCCCAUUGCGGACACUCACCCACAGGAACCCUGGUCGCUGUCAAGAGUCCCGUCCGACCUCUGCACUGCACAGUGCCCAGGGAGGCAAGAAACAUGCAGCGGAAUUCUGCCUCUCUGGCUUCACAAGAAGAGCAUCAAGUAGAAACACCUGCUCCUUUGGUGCGGGAACCGAGCGUGUUUCAAAGGCCAACGAGAGCAUCGAUGCACCUUGUUUCUAAGUGUUUAUUAUUUUCUUGGUGAUAAGUGUCCAGCUGACACAAUAAUUCGGAUGGCACCACAAGAGCUGUCACAGCUCCGUGCAAUUAGAUUGUGCCUUACAAAGGCACAUUCCAUCUUCCUGGGCAACACGGUGCUUGCAGGGAUGCUGCGUGUUGUUUGGUUCAUCAGCUCAAUGUCAAAGCCUUUCAGCUGUCCUGCUCCACCACACAGCCAGCAAAGUUUCUUGGAUUUCUAGGAGCAUGUGGAUCCUUGUAUCUUGGUAUGGGACAUGAGCCAGGUAGCUGAACAUGGGUGCAAGAGGUCAGAUUUGUCCUGCCACUGACACAAAGAGAUUAACUGUACUGCUUUGUGAGUCUGGUUGCUGAUCUCCAAGGCAGGAAUUGUCCUAAUUACUUGCCAUAGCAUCAUUUUGAUUAUGUUUUACUGAAAAUCCUGCCUGGUGUUUGACCUAUGUCUUCUGAAAUGGACAGCUUGCUCUGCAGGGAAGGGAUGGUGCCCUGCGUGUGAAGGGGCAGGACUUUGGGAGGGGUUUAAUUAAAAGGAGCUUUGUUUAAUGGAGAGGCUAGAGGUCUGAGCAGGGUGUUGGUUGCCAUGUGGAGUCCAAAUACACCCAGGCACUGGCAGGGCCUUACAAGCUGUGAAACAGCCUUCACACAGGCUGUUGCUGGUGGAUGGUCUCCAGCUGACAUGGUGCCAACCUGGGCUCCUGCCACGCAGGGUCCAGCCUCGCAGCUCCUGCACUGCACAGAUGGGGUGUAGCUGGGGAUGUGGGGUGCACCACGCACAGCUUGUGGGUGUACAACAUCGAAUCGAUCUGAUGAGGGGACUCUGUGACUGCAGAUCUGCUCAGAUGAAACUGCUAUCCAAAUCAACCUAGAAGGGCAUGAGAUACACUCCUGAAAAGCUGGCUUUGCCCCAAACACCCUGCUUUUAAUUUUCUGGCAGGUGUCAGCCAUGCAGGUUGCUCAGAGGGCUGGUGAACUUUGCAGGGAGAAAGCGGAAAAUUUGGGAUUAAUUCAGUAUCAGCAAAAGCUGCUACAAAACCAUCAGCUACUCCUCCAUAAUGGGCUAGGCACCUGCUAUAAAUGGGGAGAGAAAAGCAUCAUGUUGGCAGCUUUUACCCUCCCCUCCCCUGGACACGGGCAUUGUAAAUCCUGGGCCCUUGCUGUUCCUCCCUGCCCACUUCAGAGCUCGUGCACAUACAUUAUCUGCCAGAUGACAGAUGCAGCAGUGACAGAUUAGUUGAGCUGGAGAAAGGCCAUUUGGGCCCUGGGAUACUGGUGACGCUGGUGGAAGAGUCCAACAGCAGGAGCACCCGGAGCAGAGGUUUGUGUUCCUCCUGUAAUCUCAGCAGAGCCAGAAAGCCCAGGGAAGCAAGAAUGGAAGUUUGAGCCAUGAAGCUGGAUAAAACACAUUUUACUUCAGGUCCUGAGCAGGCUGCUCCUGCCUAAAGCCCUUCUGGCGGCUUGAAGGCAAAUCUCUUACCUAAGCCUGGGAAAUGCUCUCCAGCACAUUUCCACUACUUAGCAUCCAGCUUUGUUUCCCCAGGAAUACAGGCACUAGGGUGGUACAGCAAGUUUUCAGCCGUGCAGGGAAGAAAAUAACUCAAACUUCGCUACUGCAGCAUUGUGAGCCCUUUUCCCCACCUCCAGCAUGCUGGCAAAGGCUUCCAGGGGGAGACGGGAAAGCAGUGGGGAGAUGGAAGUGUGACUGCGCAAGUCAGGAGCAAUGUUAGAGAGAUGUGUGAGAGCAAAGCAAGGUCAGCUCUGCUGCCUCUUCGUGCAGUAUGGGUGGAUGCAUUUGCGCUGCCAGCCACUAAUCCAUGCCAGUUUGCACCAGCUGAGCAUGUGGGCCGUGAGUUUUGUGUGCUGAGGGCAUACAAAAUGUUUUGGGUUUUGCUGUGUUCUGCGUGUAAAAAGAAAGAGGAUUGUAUUGGAGCUAUAAUAAGGACAUUUUCAUCAAACAUGCUGAAUAAAUACUGUGCCUUAUUUAUGAGGCUCUAAUUCUCCACUAAAUUAUAACCUGACUAAAACAUGAAUCUAUUCCCUAGUUCCUCACACAACACAGAAAACAGUGCAAAUUUAAAUCCAGAUUAAGUCAUUUUUUGAAGGUAAAGGCAGGUGGGAAAGGCACUGAGUUCCCACAUGUGGCUCCAUUUAGCUGCUGGGGAGGAAGGUACAGCUUGGCAGCUGAAGGUGCAGAUGAACCAUAAACUAAGGAGAUAUGUCACCCAAGAAAGCGUCCCAUUUGCUCACAGUGUGCUUGUCACUUCCAUGACAUCUUUCCUGACCCAGGAUGCCCCCUAUGACAGCCUUCCUCACCCCAACAUGCAGAGCUGCUUGUGUAGACCGUAGGGGCAUGACAGUGAGAACCAAAUGCGACAGUUCUCCCUGGAGCUCCAGAUUUCUCAUCUCAUCUGAUCUCAUGGAUCUGUGAAUAUUUAGAGGGUGAAAUGACUUCCAUGGAGGUCUCUAGCUGCUCCUGAUGCUGUUUGCCUCCAUGGAAAUCCAGUUCCCUCCAGCUUGCUUUUAGGAAGCCCAGUAAGUUUUGCCUUGUGCAGAGCUGACUCCCCAUGGGGAACAUGCCAUGCUGAAUACUCAUCACCUUCCUCUCAAACUAUGAGGUCUUUGACGUCAACCACAAAAGAGCCUCUACAGGAAGAGGGACUAUCAGUUGAAGGGCACCAAAUGCCACCAAAACUGCACUGCCUUUCUUCUUGUUUGCUCCUGGCCAGGUGCUUGUAUUCCCUCAAAGCAAGAAGCAAGUGAGCUCUCAGAUCCUGUGAGGAAAAACAUAACGUUGUUCAGUAAAUGGAAUGAGCCUGUGUUCGCUGAUGUGCCUCACUGCACCGGUGCACACCUGCCUGCGUUCUGAUGGCUGCCAGCAGGCAGUUCCCAGGGUAAUGGCAAUAACCCAGCCUCAUACAAGUCCCCAGUAGUGUGAAAGGUGAUGGGAAAAGAUGGGGAGAUUUCUUUCCUGAGGCUAUUCUUUCUCUGCAUUCUGAAGUUUGAGAUUUCCAUUCCCCCAUUCACAGGUAUAAUGACAUGCUCUUAAUGGCUGUAAAAUUACAGAGCUCUUUUUUAACUCCAGCUACAGCAUAUCACUCUCUGACCUCCUGCAGUAGUGAAUUACAUGAACUGACUGCACAGUACCUCAGGUGUGGUGCUUUGCCUUUUUUUUUUUUCUUUUAAGCUGUAUUAUAUUUGCCUAGCCAUUAAUCUAAUGGAAUAAAACCAUAGUUUUCAUAUUACGAGAUAAGGCAAGAAAAGCAAUAAAUUCCUUUUCACUAUAGCUUGUACAAUUCUAAAAUACUCCUGCCAUUAACAUUC
Columba livia (rock pigeon) is the source of this 3802-nucleotide long non-coding RNA. RefSeq lists it as uncharacterized. Lineage: Eukaryota; Metazoa; Chordata; Aves; Columbiformes; Columbidae. The transcript has 3 exons. The record is from RefSeq and is a predicted model, not a curated record.